Molecule: ribosomal RNA, 499 nt
Filed under: uncultured bacterium
Lineage: Bacteria
Description: partial 16S ribosomal RNA
Rfam family: Bacterial small subunit ribosomal RNA
Source: RNAcentral
GACGAACGCUGGCGGCGUGCCUAAUACAUGCAAGUCGUGCGGACCUUUUAAAAGCUUGCUUUUAAAAGGUUAGCGGCGGACGGGUGAGUAACACGUGGGCAACCUGCCUGUAAGACUGGGAUAACGCCGGGAAACCGGGGCUAAUACCAGAUCGUUUUUUCCUCCGCAUGGAGGAAAAAGGAAAGGCGGCUUCGGCUGCCACUUACAGAUGGGCCCGCGGCGCAUUAGCUAGUUGGCGGGGUAACGGCCCACCAAGGCAACGAUGCGUAGCCGACCUGAGAGGGGGAUCGGCCACAUUGGGACUGAGACACGGCCCAAACUCCUACGGGAGGCAGCAGUAGGGAAUCUUCCGCAAUGGACGAAAGUCUGACGGAGCAACGCCGCGUGAGUGAAGAAGGCCUUCGGGUCGUAAAACUCUGUUGCCGGGGAAGAACAAGUGCCGUUCGAACAGGGCGGCGCCUUGACGGUACCCGGCCAGAAAGCCACGGCUAACUACGUG